CCAAGUGUCCUCCUCCACCACUCACGCUGGUGAUCACUGUGCUCUCUGCCAGCUGCGUGGAGUGACGGGAGGAGGGAAUCACUGUGUGUGCGAGAGUGCUUCAGACUCAAUUUCCAAAAUAAUUUUCACCCCUCUAAGCAUGUAAAUAUACAAAGAUGGAUCCUUCAUAGAAAUUAAAAAAUCAAUUUGAGCUCAUUUCGAAUACAGAACAAGUAUGGCACAGAUGGAAGUCCUGCCACGUUUCCUUUAAUGAUGCUGACUCUUGUAUCACACAGGCCAGCAUGAAGUUUCUUACUCAGACUUUACAGGCAUUUUCCGUAAUUCAAUCAGUCCUGCUCCCAGCACAACACAGGAGGUGAUUCGAGAAUAAUCGCGAGAAUCAGGCCUGCUUGGCACUAUUACAACUGGGGAAAACAAACCAGGGCGCCUCCCUGGUUCCCAGCCCAGAAUGUUUCUGUUGGGUAACUGCUUUCUAAAGGAACUGGGAUCUGAGGGAGUUCCUAGACUUGGAGCACUAAAGACACAAGCGUGGCGGGGCUGGCAGCGCCCGCUAUGAGCACCCCUCUGCCCUUGGUCCUGGCCUGGCUGUUACAGGGCCUCGAACUCGUCGAUGCGCUGCUUGGUGUUGCCCUGCCGGAUCUGCCGCAGCGUCUUGUACUUGUCCCGGCCUUGCCUCAUGUUCUCGUUGUGGAUGAUGUCAUUGUGGGUCCUCUUAUUCUCAUCUCGGGCCUGGGACAGCUCGCUGCUCAGCGUCUGUAACAUUAAGCAGCAUUGGUCUAGUCCCUUCCUCCCCAUAUGGCCCGGCCCGUCCCCUAGGAAAACAGGAAGGGCAAGAGGGGUGCUGGGUGGGGCUGGCUCACAUCACUGCCCUCCCCAAGCCUGUCUGCUCCAAAAGCGAGGCAGGCUCCCUGGAGACAGAGCCCCUUGGGCCUCACCAGCAGCUGCCGCUGCACACGCUCGUUCUUCUCUGCCUCAGUGAUGCGCUUCUCCUCAUUGCGGUCAUCCCGGAUGCCCUCACUAGACAGCUCCGCGCUGUAGCCCGUGGGCUCUGCGCCCUCAUCCUGCAAGCUCUCCUGGACAUGGUAGCUCACCGGCUCGUACACGGGGGGUGGUGGGGGCGGGGGUGCUGUCAUCACCAGGUGCAGCUCCUCCUUGGUCUUCACCAGGUCAUCCUGGGCUUCUUUGGCCUUUGGAAAGCAAAUUAAUAAGAGGACUUCUCACCCAGAAGUCCUAUCCUCCUGGCUAUGAGAACAGACUGUCACCUCCCUCUGUCCUGGCAGGCUAAGGCAGCACUGAACUGUGCUGGGCUGUGGCUUCGAAGAGGAGCACCCUCAGGGUGCAUGGGGGGUUUACAACCCUCUGCGUCCAAGACAGGAAGAGGAACUGUGAUGCCGGAACCUGGGCAGUUUUAAAACUACCAUUUCUUUUUUUACCUGUAACUCUAGACAUUAUAUAAUUUUUAGAAAAAAAAUCCUGUUAGCAUGAGUAACGGGCUCUGUUCCUAGCCUCCCUUCAUGCCACAGUCAUUAUCAAGUGCUCUCCUGCUCGCCACUUGCAGUCCUUCCAACAGCUUCACACACACCCAGUCCCGCCCGCCUCCAUCCCAGCCAGCCCUAGAGUUGAGCUUAGUGUGGAUCUGCUUUGUAGCCAGCUCUCCUCACUUAACAGGUACUUUCUCCAAAAACCUAAGAACCAAAGUCUUCCGCUUGCAACUUGGGAUGGUGAUAUGGCUGUGUCCCCACCCAAAUCUCAUCUCCACCUGUAAUCCCCCCAUGCUGGGGGUGGGGGGCAUUACCUGGUGGGAGGUGACUGGAUUACGGGGUGGUUUCCCCUAUGCUGUUCUCGUGCUAGUGGGUGGGUUCUGAGCAAGAGCUGAUGGUUUCAGUGUUUGGCAUUACCCCCCUUUGCUUUUCUCUCUUCUGCCCUCAUGUAAGAGGUGCCUGCUUCCCCUUCGCCUUCUGCCACGAUUGUAAAUUUCCUGAGGCCUCCCCCAG
RNAcentral lists this long non-coding RNA (1994 nucleotides) under Homo sapiens (human). RNAcentral's name for it is "LHRI_LNC1231.1". Lineage: Eukaryota; Metazoa; Chordata; Mammalia; Primates; Hominidae. The record is from RNAcentral.